AUAGGGAUGUUCAUUUGACAGAAACUCAUUUCUUUAAGUGUGUCGUAAUUAUGUGUCAUAUGCCAAGCACUGUCCGAGAGGUAAGUGCCAAGUGCCAGGCCAGGAGUGAGCCUUGUCCACAGACAGUUUACAGCUUUCCAGGGAAGGCAGACAGUAAAUAAAUACGCACCUAAUAAGCUGGAAAGGACUGCUGUGGUGUGUACACACUGGGAUGACCCACCAUGCCAGGGUGCUUAGGGAAGAAGUUCCCUGAAGGAGGGAGGAGAUUGGCAGAGACUAGAGAAGAGCAAGAAGCUGCUGAGGGGUGGAGGAAGAGAUUAUCCCAGGAGCAGGAAGUACACUAAACCCUGGAGUGAAGUACCAGCCCGGGCCAGGAGAUAGAAGGGCAGGCAGAGCUGGAUCAGGAUCUCCAGCUUUUCGCUAUCAUGGAGCAGGCCACAUAGACAUCUUAUAUAUAUCUGCUCCAUACAUCUAUAAGAAUGUUGGCAGAGGGCCGGGAAUACAGCUCAGCAGCAUAAGCACCUGCCUGGCAAGUUCAAGGUCUUGAGUUUGAAUCUCAUUUAAAAACAAAAAGGAAUGUCGACAGAAACACAAAUGAGGACACACACAGUGCUUAUAUUGGAUUCAACUGCCCAGGCUGCUCACCAUAGGUUCCAGUAUUCAGGAGAAAAUGUUUGUAAGAAGGGAUUGGGUUUAUUGAAGACACAUCCUGAAGAAGGUAGCAGGCAGAGGGACUGGGACCUAUGAUUUGUUAUGAAAACCACAUCUGUUAAUUUCGCAUGGAAAAAGCUUAUGGAAUCACUCAUAUAUAAAUACAGGCUCCUGAUUUUGCUCUGGGUUGAAGAGAAACACUCUUCUUCCCUCCUAACCCUACUGUGUUUCUCUGAGUCUUUCUUCUUCGCUGCCCGCGUUCCUCUCUCCUCAGGUUGUUGUUCCCUGGAAGCUGAGGCUGGACCUUGGCAUAUUACUAGAUCAUAGUGCAGUAAAA
This is a long non-coding RNA of Octodon degus (degu), 988 nucleotides long. RefSeq lists it as uncharacterized. Lineage: Eukaryota; Metazoa; Chordata; Mammalia; Rodentia; Octodontidae. The record is from RefSeq and is a predicted model, not a curated record. The transcript is spliced from 4 exons.